UUGACGGGGCCCGCACAAGCGGUGGAGUAUGUGGUUUAAUUCGAUGCAACGCGAAGAACCUUACCUGGUCUUGACAUCCCGGAGACCCUUAGGAAACUAGGGGUGCUUCCAUCUGGAAGAAUCUGGAGACAGGUGCUGCAUGGCUGUCGUCAGCUCGUGUCGUGAGAUGUUGGGUUAAGUCCCGCAACGAGCGCAACCCUUGCCUUUAGUUGCCAGCAGUUCGGCUGGGCACUCUAAAGGGACUGCCGGUGUUAAACCGGAGGAAGGUGGGGAUGACGUCAAGUCCUCAUGGCCUUUAUGACCAGGGCUACACACGUACUACAAUGGCCGAUACAAAGGGCAGCGACACUGCGAGGUGAAGCCAAUCCCAUAAAAUCGGUCUCAGUCCGGAUUGGAGUCUGCAACUCGACUCCAUGAAGUUGGAAUCGCUAGUAAUCGUGGAUCAGCAUGCCACGGUGAAUACGUUCCCGGGCCUU
Molecule: ribosomal RNA, 476 nt
Filed under: uncultured Desulfobulbus sp.
Lineage: Bacteria; Pseudomonadati; Thermodesulfobacteriota; Desulfobulbia; Desulfobulbales; Desulfobulbaceae
Description: bacterial SSU rRNA
Rfam family: Bacterial small subunit ribosomal RNA
Source: RNAcentral